This 669-nucleotide long non-coding RNA is filed under the name Zostera marina. RNAcentral describes it as "long non-coding RNA (ZMAR_LNC000504)". Lineage: Eukaryota; Viridiplantae; Streptophyta; Magnoliopsida; Alismatales; Zosteraceae. The record is from RNAcentral.
UUGAUUAAUAGUGUAAUUAGGGUUUAAAUUGACAUGAUUAAAAUAUAAUCCUAUGUCGACAAUUUUGAUUCUACAUUCUCCCCCUUUGUCGAUGACAUAUAUGUUUUAACUCAUGUCUAGUCAAUAUUCUAUUUUACCCUUAUGAGCAUGCUCCCCCUGAAUUAUUGACCCAUAAUAUUCAAUUUAAAAGCAGUGGAUCAUGCAUGAUUUCUCCCCCUUAAAACAAUAAGGUAUCGACAAAGUUAACAAUAGAUACCUAUGAAGUAUCUCCCCCUUAAUGAUAGGACAUAUCUAAUUUGUGGAGAAAAUAAAAUUUCAUACCUCAUUGAGCUUUAAUCACAAAUUCGAUUUGUGCGGUUGACCAAAUGUGACGUCUUGCUUAUAAGAGUGUUAGUCAAUCAUAAAAGAGAAAUAACAUGUAAUUUAUGCUCAUUGAUAAAAUAUUGGAUUGAAGCCAAUUUUGAUAUACAUUAUAAGGCAAGUAUGAUAUGAUAAUUUAGAUUGCCUUGUGCUAAGAUCAUGCAAUGAAUAAUAAUCCAUGUGUGUGUUAUGGAUGAAGAUGAUCUUAACAUGUAUGGAUUAAAGAUUUUAUAAUGUUAUAAUCCAUAAGAUAUUAGUGAAUGAUAUGUAUAAAUCCAUAAUAUUCACUAAUUGCUUUAAGGAGAAAUU